Molecule: long non-coding RNA, 293 nt
Filed under: Homo sapiens (human)
Lineage: Eukaryota; Metazoa; Chordata; Mammalia; Primates; Hominidae
Description: non-protein coding lnc-KLF4-2:1
Source: RNAcentral
CUUCUACAGAAGGAAGUGGGGAAAGAGCCUAACUAGAAGCUCAAGACUUAAUACAGUGGUUAACAACAAAGACAGGAAUGGAGAGCAGAAUGGCGGAGAAGCAUCACACAGCACCAGGUAUGUAAGCUUCCAACCAUGUCUCCAGCAGACAAGAGGGGACACUUCACCAGUGCCCCAGUGGCCUUCCCAGGUACUCUUUUCUGAGUCAUCUAACACAUCUAACAGAGAACCAUCACCUAACACGGCAGUUCUCAAGUUUUUUGGUCUUAUGCCCUUUUCCCUCUUAAAAAUUG